Molecule: ribosomal RNA, 468 nt
Filed under: uncultured bacterium
Lineage: Bacteria
Description: partial 16S ribosomal RNA
Rfam family: Bacterial small subunit ribosomal RNA
Source: RNAcentral
GACGAACGCUGGCGGCGUGCUUAACACAUGCAAGUCGAACGGAAAGGCCCUGCUUUUGUGGGGUGCUCGAGUGGCGAACGGGUGAGUAACACGUGAGUAAACUGCCCUUGACUUUGGGAUAACUUCAGGAAACUGGGGCUAAUACCGGAUAGGAGCUCCUGCUGCAUGGGGGGGGUUGGAAAGUUUCGGCGGUUGGGGCUGGUCUCGAGGCUUAUCAGCUUGAUGGUGGGGUAGUGGCUUACCACGGCUUUGACGGGUAGGCGGCCUGGGCGGUUGACCGGCCACAUUGGGACUGCGAUACGCCCCAGACUCCUACGGGAGGCAGCAGUGGGGAAUAUUGCACAAUGGGCGGAAGCCUGAUGCAGCAACGCCGCGUGCGUGAUGACGGCCUUCGGGUUGUAAACCGCUUUCGCCUGUGACGAAGCGUGAGUGACGGUAAUGGGUAAAGAAGCACCGGCUAACUACGUG